This 514-nucleotide ribosomal RNA is filed under the name uncultured Issatchenkia. RNAcentral describes it as "partial 18S ribosomal RNA". The stretch from base 137 to 289 matches the Rfam family "5.8S ribosomal RNA". Lineage: Eukaryota; Fungi; Ascomycota; Saccharomycetes; Saccharomycetales; Saccharomycetaceae. The record is from RNAcentral.
AUUUCCGUAGGUGAACCUGCGGAAGGAUCAUUACUGUGAUUUAGUACUACACUGCGUGAGCGGAACGAAAACAACAACACCUAAAAUGUGGAAUAUAGCAUAUAGUCGACAAGAGAAGUCUACGAAAAACAAACAAAACUUUCAACAACGGAUCUCUUGGUUCUCGCAUCGAUGAAGAGCGCAGCGAAAUGCGAUACCUAAUGUGAAUUGCAGCCAUCGUGAAUGAUCGAGUUCUUGAACGCACAUUGCGCCCCUCGGCAUUCCGGGGGGCAUGCCUGUUUGAGCGUCGUUUCCAUCUUGCGCGUGCGCAGAGUUGGGGGAGCGGAGCGGACGACGUGUAAAGAGCGUCGGAGCUGCGACUCGCCUGAAAGGGUGCGAAGCUGGCCGAGCGAUCUAGACUUUUUUUCAGGGACGCUUGGCGGCCGAGAGCGAGUGUCGCGAGACAACAAAAUGCUCGUCCUCAAAUCAGGUAGGAAUACCCGCUGAACUUAAGCAUAUCAAUAAGCGGAGGAAU